This 900-nucleotide ribosomal RNA is filed under the name Triticum aestivum (bread wheat). Its description in RNAcentral is "partial small subunit ribosomal RNA". The record is from RNAcentral. Lineage: Eukaryota; Viridiplantae; Streptophyta; Magnoliopsida; Poales; Poaceae.
AUGGAGGAGGGCCUUCCCCCGGGGUUCCGGUUCCACCCGACGGACGAGGAGCUCAUCACUUACUACCUCAGCCGCAAGGUCUCCGACUUCUCCUUCGUCACCCGUGCCAUCGCCGACGUCGAUCUCAACAAGUGCGAGCCAUGGGACCUUCCAAGCAAAGCUAGCAUGGGGGAGAAAGAGUGGUACUUCUUCAGCAUGCGCGACCGGAAAUACCCGACCGGCAUCCGCACGAAUCGCGCCACCGAAUCCGGCUACUGGAAGACCACCGGCAAGGACAAGGAGAUCUUCCACGCUGGCAGGCUCGUCGGCAUGAAGAAAACCCUAGUGUUCUACGGAGGUAGAGCUCCCAAGGGCGAGAAGACCAGCUGGGUCAUGCACGAGUACAGGAUCCAAAACAAGUUCCCAUACAAACCCAACAAGGAGGAAUGGGUUGUGUGCAGGGUGUUCAAGAAGAGUCAGAUAGUGAAGAUGAGGCACCCACAGGACAGCCCCGACAUGGACUCCCCAUGCAACGACGGUCACGCCUCCCUCGGCGAGCUCGGGGAGAUCGACGUCUCCUCCAUGCUCGGCAGCUUCGCCCCGACCGGCGCGAACGCUUCCGGUGACAACUUCGGCCACCGGAUCGACAUGGGCGCGUACAUGAACUGGCUGGCGGCGGCAAACCAGGGCGCGGCCGCCAUGCUCCCCUGGGCUGCUGCGGCGGCGCCGGGGUUGCUCGGCACCGUUUUCUCUGCGAACCCCGCCAUGCACAAGGCGCUGGCGCCGUUCGCCGGGUGCAGCCAGCUGCCGAGAGACGUCGGCGGUGAUGCCUUGUUCGGGAACGCCAUGGCGAAGGUGGACAUGGAGUGCGAGCAGCCACCGCAGCUGGAAAUGCACGAGUCCACAUGGAGAACCUUCUGA